RNAcentral lists this ribosomal RNA (906 nucleotides) under Cortinarius chrysma. Its description in RNAcentral is "partial large subunit ribosomal RNA". It matches the Rfam family "Eukaryotic large subunit ribosomal RNA", at positions 72 to 965 of the family's 3401-position model. The record is from RNAcentral. Lineage: Eukaryota; Fungi; Basidiomycota; Agaricomycetes; Agaricales; Cortinariaceae.
GGAUUCCCCUAGUAACUGCGAGUGAAGCGGGAAAAGCUCAAAUUUAAAAUCUGGCGGUCUUUGGCUGUCCGAGUUGUAAUCUAGAGAAGUGUUAUCCGUGCUGGACCGUGUACAAGUCUCCUGGAAUGGAGCGUCAUAGAGGGUGAGAAUCCCGUCUUUGACACGGACUGCCAGGACUUUGUGAUGCGCUCUCAAAGAGUCGAGUUGUUUGGGAAUGCAGCUCAAAAUGGGUGGUAAAUUCCAUCUAAAGCUAAAUAUUGGCGAGAGACCGAUAGCGAACAAGUACCGUGAGGGAAAGAUGAAAAGAACUUUGGAAAGAGAGUUAAACAGUACGUGAAAUUGCUGAAAGGGAAACGCUUGAAGUCAGUCGCGUUGUCCAGGGAUCAACCUUGCUUUUGCUUGGUGCACUUUCUGGUUGACGGGUCAGCAUCAAUUUUGAUCAUUGGAAAAAGAUUAGGGGAAUGUGGCAUCUUCGGAUGUGUUAUAGCCCUUGGUUGCAUACAAUGGUUGGGAUUGAGGAACUCAGCACGCCGCAAGGCCGGGUUUUUAACCACGUACGUGCUUAGGAUGCUGGCAUAAUGGCUUUAAUCGACCCGUCUUGAAACACGGACCAAGGAGUCUAACAUGCCUGCGAGUGUUUGGGUGGAAAACCCGAGCGCGUAAUGAAAGUGAAAGUUGAGAUCCCUGUCGUGGGGAGCAUCGACGCCCGGACCAGACCUUUUGUGACGGUUCCGCGGUAGAGCAUGUAUGUUGGGACCCGAAAGAUGGUGAACUAUGCCUGAAUAGGGUGAAGCCAGAGGAAACUCUGGUGGAGGCUCGUAGCGAUUCUGACGUGCAAAUCGAUCGUCAAAUUUGGGUAUAGGGGCGAAAGACUAAUCGAAACCAUCUARUAGCUGGUUCUGCGAU